UAAUUUUGGUUUUGUCAGGCAGGUUGCUAUUAAAAGAAUAAAGAGAAAGUACUACUCUUGGGAGGAGUGUAGGAAUCUUAGAGAAGUAAAGUCCUUACGGAAGAUGAACCAUCCCAACAUUGUGAAGCUGAAGGAGGUUAUCAGAGAAAAUGAUGUCUUGUACUUCGUUUUUUAGUAUAUGGAGUGCAACCUUUAUCAGCUCAUGAAAGAUAGGCGAAAACCUUUUUCAGAGAUUGAAGUCAGGAACUGGUGCUUCCAAGUCUUUCAAGCUCUUGCUUAUGCACCAGCGUGGAU
This is a long non-coding RNA of Magnolia sinica, 294 nucleotides long. RefSeq lists it as uncharacterized. The transcript is spliced from 3 exons. Lineage: Eukaryota; Viridiplantae; Streptophyta; Magnoliopsida; Magnoliales; Magnoliaceae. The record is from RefSeq and is a predicted model, not a curated record.